CGGUCAAAUUGGAAAAAUUCGUGGGACAAGGAAAGAGACUAGGAGGGAAACGAAAACAAACCAAAGGGUUAAGUUUGGGAUAAAAGAAAAGAGAAACAAAACAAAAUUGAUAAUGGCAUCUUUCCAUCUUGUUUGGAUAAUUCAUGAGGAAAAGAAGAGCAAAAUGUGUGUUAUUCUCUCCCUUGCUUGGGAAAGAUAAACGAUAAAUGACAGACGGGAAAAUAGUUUUAUUUUGUGCUUAUUAGGGAAAGGAAUAUGGUUUUUUCCCAUUUCUCUUCUCUAAAGAGGCAAUUAUGAAGGAGAGAGUCCAUUUCGUUACCUUUCCUACAAGGUUAUCCAUCUUUUCUGGUUCUCUACUCUCAGCACCAUCACUGCAGUGCAGAUGUUCCUCUUCUUUGGUGGUUCAAUCUAGUCGAGUUUGCAUUAUAGUCGAUCUUAUGAUGCCUGAUGAAAGAACAAUCGUGGGACAAAGCAACUAUUGAUUGCUGACUGUUUACGUAAUAUUUCUGAAAACACAUAUGAGAGGGCUGUGGACAUUCGACGGAAAUUACGCUUUAGCAAAGGGGAUUGUGGAAGCUGUUCACCACAUGCAUGGACGAAAAGUACUGUUGUUUUCCUCAUGUACAACGGAGAGUGCUAAUCUUUCAGUUUGAAAUUCAAAAGAUGAACCAUGCCCUGGUCCUUUCUUAAGGAAUGGUUUCUCUCAAGAGCUAGCCUUCAACUAGAAGUUGAGAGCCAUGUACAGCUCUUGGUGGCUCAGUGGAGGCAAUUGCUCGUGGCAUUGAACAUGACAGUAACAGGAAAAAUUUGUCAGAUGCUUUUGUUUCUCUAGCUUUGUUCUAUGGUAAGAGAUAUGAGUUUGAAGGUCAGAGUAGAAGCUUCUGAUGCCCUUGGGGAGAUAAGUAUGGUGUCUGAGGAGAUUCUGUUACAAAACUUAUCAACGAAGCUCCUUUCUGUCAUUGGCAAACUUACAUUGCAGCGGCAUGGUGUUUAGGAAAAGACCUAUUCUGGGGUGUGCUCUACAAAACCAUUUGAAAUACCAGCAUUGAAGUCUGCUGAAGUUUUUGUGCAUAGGCUGAGGAUGAAUUCAGUGUGGUACGAAGGUCAGCCUGUCAUUCCUUGCAUACCCUCAGCAUACUUUCGGCUGAUUUCUCCGGUGAAGCCUUAAAUUUAUUGGUCGACGUGCUCAGUGAUGAUUCAAUGGUUGUCCACUUACAGGCUUUGGAAACAUUGC
Rhododendron vialii is the source of this 1234-nucleotide long non-coding RNA. RefSeq lists it as uncharacterized. Lineage: Eukaryota; Viridiplantae; Streptophyta; Magnoliopsida; Ericales; Ericaceae. The record is from RefSeq and is a predicted model, not a curated record. The transcript has 4 exons.